Pyrgilauda ruficollis (rufous-necked snowfinch) is the source of this 418-nucleotide long non-coding RNA. RefSeq lists it as uncharacterized. The record is from RefSeq and is a predicted model, not a curated record. Lineage: Eukaryota; Metazoa; Chordata; Aves; Passeriformes; Passeridae. The transcript is spliced from 3 exons.
GCGCCUCCGCGGAGCGGGAGCCGGCCCUGCCUGCGCGCCGGGCGGCGGAGCAAAGCGCGCAGCUCAGCGCCAGAAAUGCCUCGACAUCUCCCCGCCGGCCCAGCCCGGCCGCCAGCGGGGCCGGGCAGCUCGCAGUGAGGUGCUGACCGCGACUGCCGCGACGCUGUGAUACCUUAUCGGGGCAGGCAGCGUCCCCUCGUAGUGUGCGACAAGCGGAAACAGGGCCGGGAGCCAGCCGGGCCCUCUGCCAGGGCUGCCCGGCAUCCAUGAGAGCCCUGCAGAGCCCCCCGCCAAGCAUUCCCGCUCCAUUCCCUCUGGGAGCCGGGAUGGGAACACACGUGGUUUUGGAGAGCUGCCCCCGAACAUCCCCCCGGCACUUCCAGGGAUCUGCCCCGCAUCUCCACUACUGCUCGUGCCC